UACGUAGGGGGCUAGCGUUGUCCGGAAUCAUUGGGCGUAAAGCGCGUGUAGGCGGUUCGGUAAGUCCGCUGUGAAAGUCGGGGGCUCAACCCUCGGAUGCCGGUGGAUACUGUCGGACUAGAGUACGGAAGAGGCGAGUGGAAUUCCUGGUGUAGCGGUGGAAUGCGCAGAUAUCAGGAGGAACACCGAUGGCGAAGGCAGAUCUCUGGGCCGUAACUGACGCUGAGGAGCGAAAGCGUGGGGAGCGAACAGG
Molecule: ribosomal RNA, 253 nt
Filed under: uncultured bacterium
Lineage: Bacteria
Description: partial 16S ribosomal RNA
Rfam family: Bacterial small subunit ribosomal RNA
Source: RNAcentral